AUUGAACGCUGGCGGCAGGCCUAACACAUGCAAGUCGAGCGGCAGCGGGAAAGUAGCUUGCUACUUUUGCCGGCGAGCGGCGGACGGGUGAGUAAUGCCUGGGGAUCUGCCCAGUCGAGGGGGAUAACUACUGGAAACGGUAGCUAAUACCGCAAACGCUCUACGGGGGAAAGCAGGGGACCUUCGGGCCUUGCGCGAUUGGACGAACCCAGGGGGGAUUAGCUAGUUGGUGAGGUAACGGCUCACCAAGGCGACGAUCCCUAGCUGGUCUGGGAGGAUGACCAGCCACACUGGAACUGAGACAAGGUCCAGACUCCUACGGGAGGCAGCAGUGGGGAAUAUUGCACAAUGGGGGAAACCCUGAUGCAGCCAUGCCGCGUGUGUGAAGAAGGCCUUCGGGUUGCAAAGCACUUUCAGCGAGGAGGAAAGGUCAGUAGCUAAUAUCUGCCGGCUGUGACGUUACUCGCAGAAGAAGCACCGGCUAACUCCGUGCCAGCCGCCGCCGUAA
Molecule: ribosomal RNA, 508 nt
Filed under: uncultured bacterium
Lineage: Bacteria
Description: partial 16S ribosomal RNA
Rfam family: Bacterial small subunit ribosomal RNA
Source: RNAcentral